CGGAUUGUAGUCUGCAACUCGACUACAUGAAGCUGGAAUCGCUAGUAAUCGCGAAUCAGAAUGUCGCGGUGAAUAACGUUCCCGGGUCUUGUACACACCGCCCGUCACACCAUGGGAGUCGGGAAUGCCCGAAGUCAGUGACCCAACCGCAAGGAGGGAGCUGCCGAAGGCAGGCUCGAUAACUGGGGUGAAGUCGUAACAAGGUAAC
RNAcentral lists this ribosomal RNA (208 nucleotides) under uncultured bacterium. RNAcentral's name for it is "partial 16S ribosomal RNA". It matches the Rfam family "Bacterial small subunit ribosomal RNA", at positions 1294 to 1500 of the family's 1533-position model. The record is from RNAcentral.